This 3289-nucleotide small RNA is filed under the name Caenorhabditis elegans. Its description in RNAcentral is "Unclassified non-coding RNA B0412.11". The record is from RNAcentral. Lineage: Eukaryota; Metazoa; Nematoda; Chromadorea; Rhabditida; Rhabditidae.
GAUGGCUAACACAUGCUACGCAAACAACGAAAUCCAGCGGGCUCUGCGGUUCUGGGGACUCGUAGUAAAAGAUAAUGCUCUACCGUACUCUAUUCGUAAGGAUAUGAUGCAUCGUGCCACGUGGGCCGCCUACGCAAUCACCAGUAUUCAAGACUACGCAGUAUGCUGUAUGCAGUUAAUGUGUCCCGCAUAUUCAGAAGUUCUUCCCUCGGAUUGUGUUAAAGGCCUUUUAGAUGUUCUCGACGGAAAACCACCUGGAUCACCGUUUCCAAACGAUGAUAUCUCACAAGAGCAGGUAAAUCCCCACCCGGAAACCGGAUAUUAAAACACAAUAAAUGCGCAUUCUUUUGUGUUUGUUAUCCAAAAAUAAUUUUCAAUAUCCGGCGCUGUACUGGCUAUCCGGCUAUUAAGCACAAUGCACAUAUAUGUGCAUAAACAACCUUGUCCACUCCUGCAAGAGAACAAAAGUUCGGAACACUAGAGAUCAGACUACAAGUAUACUGAAUUUAAUAAGAAACUAGAAUUUUCUCCCAACAAAGGACCAUAAGUGCCAAAAUUAGGUUCUUAAAAGGGAGAGUAGAGUUUCUGGGUAUUUUGCUUAAAUAGACUAAAACUGGAACAAAACCACUAAAAUUCAUAAUGAGACUUGACGAAAAAAAUUUCAAAAAUUUUUUAUGGCGGGUAAAAAUUUCGAAAAAAGGCAAAUUUUUUGCUUAAUCUGAAAUUUCGCCCACUUUUCUUUAUGGUAGCCAUUGGAAUUUAUCUUUUCUGAAAUUAUCACCCUUUAAUCCAUAUUGUAGUAAUUUAUCUGUUGUAAAUUCCUUGAUUGAGACACACUUUGAGUUGAUAAGAAUCCAAUUUUUUUGAUAAUUUUUGGAUCAAAGCAAUUAAAGUAAGUGUCUCAAUCAAGGGAUUUACAGGAGAUAAAAUGUCAAAGUAUGGAUUAAAAAGUGAUAAUUUCAGAAAAGUUUAAUUCCAAUGGCUGCGACAAAGAAAAGUUAGCGACAUUUCAGAUUAAGCAAAAUGCAAAACGUGGCUCUUUUUUUUCGAAAUUUUUGCGCGCCAUAAAAGUUUUUGGGCAUUUUUUGUGAAAUCUAAUUAGGAAAUUCGGUCGCUUUGUUCCAGUUUUAGUCUAUUUGAGCAAAAUACUUACAAACUCUACUCCCCCUUUAAAAAUACUGUUUAUAAUUUCUAGUAUACUGUAUGCUUUAAAAAUUGUCAAAUGUAUCUAGUAAUUAUUAAAUCUCCAGCUCCACACAUACCAACUCCAAUGGCAGCAUGUGCUUCAAGAACACCCGGCAUUUGUAGUUCAAGCCUCCAAAAUCGCAGAACUAUUCCUGGAAACGCGCGUCUCGUUUCUCGAUCAACAAACCGUCGAGCAGGAUUCAAAAGUGGCGGUUAGAGUCGAAAUUGUGUCGAAGAUCGAACAAGUCAUACGGUAUUUUUCAUUGGAGCGCGCUUUUUGACACAUUUUUUCAUAUGCUACUGUUAAUAAAAAUUCAACGAAUAUUUAAAUUUCAAUUAUUGUGAAAUUUUAAAAAAAUUGAAAUCUUCCAAAAAAAAAAGAUAAUGCUCAAUUUAUUAUUUAGUGUUGAAUUUUUUUAAAUGAAUAUCGGUAAUUCUAACUCAUCAAUUUGUAUUUUGUCAAAAUGGAUGAUUAUAGAUUUCGAUAAUAAUUUUCGCUGAAAAAUCGAAAAAAAAAAACAUCGAUUUUGUAUUUCUUUUUUCCAGAAGGACACUAGUUUUUAAUUGUUAAAAUCGAUUUUUUUUCUGCCAAAAAGUCGAUGAUUUCUAAAUUUCGAUAAUACAUUUUUUUUGUGGAAAAAAAAUCUAUAAUUUUUUCAAAACGUCGAUAAUUUCGUAUUAAAAAAUCUAAAGUUUUUGAUUUUUUUAUUGCCAAAUCUCGUGCCAUUUUUCGAUUUUUCAAUGGUUUUCGGGGAAAAAUCGAAAAAAAUGUUCCGAAAAUUAACUAUAGAAUGUGAUCUUUUAUCUAAUUUUGUUUAUAUUGAUGAAAAAAAAAAAAAAUUUUCUAAAAAGAAAAACAAUGGCCAAAAUGUUGAGCUAAUUUUAAAAAAUCGGAAAACCGACACCUUUGAUCUUGACACUUCGCUUUUUUUUGUUGAAAAGUCGAUAUUUUACUUUUUUUUUUUGACAAACCGAUAUAUUAUUUUCUUCAAAUCCAUAGUUAUUGAAAUCAGCCAAAAAAAGUGAUUAUUUUUAAAUUCCAUAACUUUUACAAUUGGUUAAAAGUCGUUAUCAAAAAUCUAUUCUCGUUAUUCCAACAAUAAAAUUUCCAGAUUAAAUGAUGUAUCAGUUCAUCUGAAAGCCAAAAAAUUCCCACCAGACGCAAAUCAGACUGCAAACGACGCGGAUUGUCUGAUCUACGAUCCGAUUCAUUUGGGAAGUGUUGAAGUCAGCAAAUCGAAACCCUUGCAACGUGUCGUCUUGUUGGAUUUGAAGAACGCGAAACAAAAUUGGAUUGUUACAGUCACUAAAGUGACGUUGGAUUUGGGAAACGCUAUCAGAGGAAACAUUGAAUUUGAUGAGAAUGCACUGAAUAGAAAUUGCCACGUGGAGAAUAUUAUCGGAUUGGAGUUCUUGAAGUAAUUGAAUUUUCUUUAAAAAUAAGGAUAUUACCGGAAAAAAAACCUAUUUUUAUUUUCCAGUAAUUUUUUAUUGGAUUAAAAAAUUUUAAAUCUAGCAUUUUCAUUUCUAUUUGGAUAGUUUUUCGACAAGAAAAUUAAAUUAGGGUCAAUAAUUUAAAAAGUUUGAAAAUUCGUUUUUUUUUUAAUUUUCCAAAAAAAAUUGAAAAAACAAAAAUAAAAUUUCCAGGAAAAAGCCCGAGUUGAAAAACUAACUUUCUUUUAUUUUUUUUUGUUUAAUAUUUCUAAUUUUUCGACUUUCGUGAAAGAAAACUGAAAAUCCAAAAAUUGUAAUUUUACAAAAUCGUUUUGCUCGAAAAAACAAACAGCAGAAAAAUCACUGAAAUUUGUAGAAAUAUCAAAUUUAAAAAUCUAAUUUUUAUUCCAGAAUUGGGGUCGCAAAAACAAGUGUGAAACUGGAGAGUGUGGAGAAAGUUGACUGUCUGAUUGGUGAAGUGACAAGCACCGAGCUAACAAUUCGAAACACUUGCAAAUCGUCGCCAAUUCACGGUCUUCAGUUGGAUUUCAAGAGGAAAGAGCAAAAGCAUGCGGAAGCCGCCGCUGUGUUGUUCGUCGAGCAAGAUGGUACCGAACUCAAGUCAGAAUUCUCGAAAAGCGUUUGUGAGCAGUUGGGUGCUGGUGAGAUG